AACGCACAUUGCGCCCGCCAGUACUCUGGCGGGCAUGCCUGUUCGAGCGUCAUUUCAACCCUCAAGCCCUGCUUGGUGUUGGGGCCCUACGGCUGCCGUAGGCCCUGAAAGGAAGUGGCGGGCUCGCUGCAACUCCGAGCGUAGUAGAAUGCUAUCUCGCUAGGGAGGCUGCGGCGGCGCUCCGGCCGUUAAAGACCCAUCUUUAACCCAAGGUUGACCUCGGAUCAGGUAGGAAUACCCGCUGAACUUAA
This 251-nucleotide unclassified non-coding RNA is filed under the name uncultured Coniochaetaceae. RNAcentral describes it as "sequence contains ITS2". The stretch from base 1 to 52 matches the Rfam family "5.8S ribosomal RNA", at positions 103 to 154 of the family's 154-position model. The record is from RNAcentral. RNAcentral also lists the same sequence under 1 other name. Lineage: Eukaryota; Fungi; Ascomycota; Sordariomycetes; Coniochaetales.